AUGAACGCUGGCGGCGUGCCUAAUACAUGCAAGUCGAGCGAACAGAUGAGGAGCUUGCUCCUCUGACGUUCGCGGCGGACGGGUGAGUAACACGUGGAUAACCUACCUAUAAGACUGGGAUAACUUCGGGAAACCGGAGCUAAUACCGGAUAAUAUAUUGAACCGCCUGGUUCAAUAGUGAAAGACGGUUUUGCUGUCACUUAUAGAUGGAUCCGCGCCGCAUUAGCUAGUUGGUAAGGUAACGGCUUACCAAGGCAACGAUGCGUAGCCGACCUGAGAGGGUGAUCGGCCACACUGGAACUGAGACACGGUCCAGACUCCUACGGGAGGCAGCAGUAGGGAAUCUUCCGCAAUGGGCGAAAGCCUGACGGAGCAACGCCGCGUGAGUGAUGAAGGUCUUCGGAUCGUAAAACUCUGUUAUUAGGGAAGAACAAAUGUGUAAGUAACUAUGCACGUCUUGACGGUACCUAAUCAGAAAGCCACGGCUAACUACGUG
Molecule: ribosomal RNA, 496 nt
Filed under: uncultured bacterium
Lineage: Bacteria
Description: partial 16S ribosomal RNA
Rfam family: Bacterial small subunit ribosomal RNA
Source: RNAcentral